AUUGAACGCUGGCGGCAUGCCUUACACAUGCAAGUCGAACGGCAGCACGGACUUCGGUCUGGUGGCGAGUGGCGAACGGGUGAGUAAUGUAUCGGAACGUACCUUUCAGUGGGGGAUAACGUAGCGAAAGUUACGCUAAUACCGCAUAUUCUGUGAGCAGGAAAGCAGGGGAUCGAAAGACCUUGCGCUGAUUGAGCGGCCGAUAUCAGAUUAGCUAGUUGGUGGGGUAAAGGCCUACCAAGGCGACGAUCUGUAGCGGGUCUGAGAGGAUGAUCCGCCACACUGGAACUGAGACACGGUCCAGACUCCUACGGGAGGCAGCAGUGGGGAAUUUUGGACAAUGGGGGCAACCCUGAUCCAGCCAUGCCGCGUGAGUGAAGAAGGCCUUCGGGUUGUAAAGCUCUUUCGGCCAGGAAGAAAUCGCAUAGGCUAAUACCCUGUGUGGAUGACGGUACCGGAAUAAGAAGCACCGGCUAACUACGUG
Molecule: ribosomal RNA, 484 nt
Filed under: uncultured bacterium
Lineage: Bacteria
Description: partial 16S ribosomal RNA
Rfam family: Bacterial small subunit ribosomal RNA
Source: RNAcentral